Ornithorhynchus anatinus (platypus) is the source of this 138-nucleotide small nucleolar RNA. The record is from RefSeq and is a predicted model, not a curated record. Lineage: Eukaryota; Metazoa; Chordata; Mammalia; Monotremata; Ornithorhynchidae.
AACCUCUCAGGAUAGCACCUGGAGAGUUUCCAGUACUCUACCAGUCUCAGCUACAGGAGGGAGAGUCAAGCAGAGGCCUACCCAUUCCAUUCCUAAAAUGGCCAGUGGCUCGCGAGUGGAAGGCAAUCUGCUAAAAGU